UGUGAACAUUAACUGCUGUGAUGUAUGCUUUUGCUAAGGCAUUAGCAAAUUACUAAUUCCAGGACAGCUUCAUCAUCCUCCAAAAAGAAACCAGUACCCAUUAGCAGUCAUUCCUCAUUCUCCCUCAGC
Ceratotherium simum simum (southern white rhinoceros) is the source of this 129-nucleotide non-coding RNA. NCBI's taxonomy places the organism in Eukaryota, Metazoa, Chordata, Mammalia, Perissodactyla, Rhinocerotidae. The record is from RefSeq and is a predicted model, not a curated record.